CGGUGGAUGAUGUGGUUUAAUUCGAUAGCAACGCGAAAACCUUACCACCUUUGACAUGGCAGGAAUCCCGAAGAGAUUUGGGAGUGCUCGAAAGAGAACUUGCACACAGGUGCUGCAUGGCUGUCGUCAGCUCGUGUCGUGAGAUGUUGGGUUAAGUCCCGCAACGAGCGCAACCCUUGCCAUUAGUUGCUACGAAAGGGCACUCUAAAUGGGACUGCCGGUGACAAACCGGAGGGAAGGUGGGGAUGACGUCAAGUCCUCAUGGCCCUUAUAGGUGGGGCUACACACGUCAUACAAUGGCCGGUACAGAGGGUAGCCAACCCGCGAGGGGGAGCCAAUCCCACAAAAGCCGGUCGUAGUCCGGAUCGCAGUCUGCAACUCGACUGCGUGAAGUCGGAAUCGCUAGUAAUCGCGGAUCAGCAUGUCGCGGUGAAUACGUUCCCGGGUCUU
This 450-nucleotide ribosomal RNA is filed under the name uncultured Allobrachymonas sp. Its description in RNAcentral is "bacterial SSU rRNA". It matches the Rfam family "Bacterial small subunit ribosomal RNA", at positions 930 to 1382 of the family's 1533-position model. The record is from RNAcentral. Lineage: Bacteria; Pseudomonadati; Pseudomonadota; Betaproteobacteria; Burkholderiales; Comamonadaceae.